AGAAGUCAGAGAAGAUGACAUCACAGAUGACAUCACAUACAGCGACGUGAAAAUAUUAAGUAACCAACAACAGCCAAUCAGACGGAGCAGAGAGAGCGAUCCGGCUGCAGUCUACUCAGCUGUGAGAACAGACCACGUCACUUAUGGACGAAUAUUCAUCACAGACACCAGAUCACAGACGAGAGAGAGCGAUCCGGCUGCAGUCUACUCAGCUGUGAGAACAGACCACGUCACUUAUGGACGAAUAUUCAUCAGAACAAACAGGACCAGAGAGUGUCCAGCAGAGCCGGAGGUCGUCUACUCUUCACUGAGGUCGACCGUCACACCUUCACACCAGUCCCACCACUGACGUCCUCCUGCUGGUCUGUUGCUGGUCCUCAC
Molecule: long non-coding RNA, 381 nt
Organism: Seriola dumerili (greater amberjack)
Lineage: Eukaryota; Metazoa; Chordata; Actinopteri; Carangiformes; Carangidae
Exons: 4
Source: RefSeq, a predicted model, not a curated record